ACGACCAUCCCCAGAAUUUGACGGUGAGCUUAUUAAUCACAGAUCCACUGGUACUUCGAUGUCACCACCUAAAUACCAAUCAUACCCCUAACCUCCACCAAACCAGAACAAAAUCCCCAAUCCCGUUAUUGUAAUUUCACUUGCUAAACAGACUCCACUACACUCCAGCUAUUAUAUUUGUCUCCCCUCUCAUCAAUUUCACUACCCCAACAGAUUUAGAGCGAGAGAGAAAUCUCUAUAGAGAUCUAGAGAGAGUACCUAACCAAUCUCUGCAGCGAGAUGAGAGAGAUUGGUGCACAACAGGCGCAAAUUGAAGGUAACAACAGCAACGGUAGCGGUAACGGUAACGGCGGUGAUCAGUUCAACGACGGUGGCGGCAUGGCGGGNCGGGUGGGCUACGUGACUUGCAACGGCAUAUACUCCAUUAGAGAUUUAAAGUUUGUAUAUAACCUAGUGUAAUCAUUCUCAAAAAAAAAAAACCUAGUGUAAUAAUGAUUGUAUUUUUGCAAUAUAAAGUAUGUGACUGCACUUUUUACCCUGAACUAAUUAACAUAGAAUUAUUUGUCCUAAUAAUUUGGAUGGCUGACGUGGGUAUAAGAUGAUAGUAACAAUACUUAUAAACUUGUUCGUGUUGACCGCUCCAAGUUUUCUGAUGCUAGAUUUUGUGUUUCAGAAAAUCAAGAUUUAUCUUAUCAUUGACUAAUAAAACAUAUAAAUUUUGUAAAUUUUAUUUGAUUAUCUGAUAUAAAUAUUUUACAUGAAAUUCUACAUUUUGUAAGUUAUAUUAAAUAAAAAUCCAUAAUACGAAUUUUUAGUUUGGUACAAAUUAAGUUUGUUGAGCUAAUUAAUUUAGAUAUUUUAAUUUAAUUGUGAAUGAGUAUAUAUUUGUCGAUCAAACAACUUAUAAAAUAAGAAAGUUAUCACUUAUGAGAUCUCAUUUGUCAACGACGUAGAGUGACAAAUGGUGCAAAUAACAAGUAGAUAGUCUAUUCGAGCAUCAGUCAUUGUUGAGUGUGUUGUGUAGUGCUACUGCUACUGCUUUUAGUAGUUUGUCUCUGUUGCAAAAUUCGUUCUUGCCUUUAAAACCACUUCUCGCUCUCGCUACACGUGAAAAGAUUGGAUGUCAUGUUGUGUUAAUCAGAUACAACACUUCACCGUUCCACAAUUUUAGUCACAUUUUUUAGUUAUUUUAUAUAAUCUUAUAAUUCAAUUGAUUUACAAACUUAAUAUUAAUAAAAAUAUAUUUAAUACUAACAUUAACAUUAUAAUAAAUAAUACUCUCUCUGUUUCAAUUUACAUGUCCACUUUCAAGAAAUAUUUUUGUUUCAAAUUAUUUGUCAACUUCAACCUUCGAUGCAAAAUCAUAUCUUCAAAGCCAAUUCUAUUCCACAUAUUUUUUAUUUAUAUUUUCUAGAUCAAUCUCAUUCCACAUAAUUUUUAUCAGUAAUUUUUUUUAAAGUGUAAUAUUGUCCUUGCACCAGAUUGGCGGGCCCACGACCAUCCCCAGAAUUUGACGGUGAGCUUAUUAAUCACAGAUCCACUGGUACUUCGAUGUCACCACCUAAAUACCAAUCAUACCCCUAACCUCCACCAAACCAGAACAAAAUCCCCAAUCCCGUUAUUGUAAUUUCACUUGCUAAACAGACUCCACUACACUCCAGCUAUUAUAUUUGUCUCCCCUCUCAUCAAUUUCACUACCCCAACAGAUUUAGAGCGAGAGAGAAAUCUCUAUAGAGAUCUAGAGAGAGUACCUAACCAAUCUCUGCAGCGAGAUGAGAGAGAUUGGUGCACAACAGGCGCAAAUUGAAGGUAACAACAGCAACGGUAGCGGUAACGGUAACGGCGGUGAU
Molecule: long non-coding RNA, 1850 nt
Filed under: Daucus carota (carrot)
Lineage: Eukaryota; Viridiplantae; Streptophyta; Magnoliopsida; Apiales; Apiaceae
Description: long non-coding RNA (DCAR_LNC000715)
Source: RNAcentral